Molecule: small nuclear RNA, 107 nt
Organism: Hyaena hyaena (striped hyena)
Lineage: Eukaryota; Metazoa; Chordata; Mammalia; Carnivora; Hyaenidae
Source: RefSeq, a predicted model, not a curated record
GUGCUCACUUCGGUAGCACGUAUACUUAAACUGGACCAUUACAGAGAAGAUGAUCGUGGCCCCUGCUCAGGGAUGAUGUGCAAACCUGCGACUUCUCCCAACGGUCU